This 465-nucleotide ribosomal RNA is filed under the name uncultured bacterium. RNAcentral describes it as "bacterial SSU rRNA". It matches the Rfam family "Bacterial small subunit ribosomal RNA", at positions 338 to 795 of the family's 1533-position model. The record is from RNAcentral.
CCUACGGGAGGCACCAGUAGGGAAUCUUCGGCAAUGGACGAAAGUCUGACCGAGCAACGCCGCGUGAGUGAAGAAGGUCUUCGGAUCGUAAAACUCUGUUGUUAGAGAAGAACAAGUAAGAGAGUAACUGCUCUUACCUUGACGGUAUCUAACCAGAAAGCCACGGCUAACUACGUGACGGCAGCCGCGGUAAUACGUAGGUGGCAAGCGUUGUCCGGAUUUAUUGGGCGUAAAGCGAGCGCAGGCGGUCUUUUAAGUCUGAUGUGAAAGCCCUCGGCUCAACCGAGGAAGGUCAUUGGAAACUGGAGGACUUGAGUGCAGAAGAGGAGAGUGGAAUUCCAUGUGUAGCGGUGAAAUGCGUAGAUAUAAGGAGGAACACCAGUGGCGAAGGCGACUCUCUGAUCUGUAACUGACGCUGAGGCUCGAAAGCGUGGGGAGCAAACAGGAUUAGAUACCCGCGUAGUC